AAUCAGUGUGUGUGUUAGUGGAAGCGUCUGGAAAGGCGCGCGAUACAGGGUGACAGCCCCGUACACAAAAAUGCACAUGCUGGGAGCUCGAUGAGUAGGGCGGGACACGUGGUAUCCUGUCUGAAUAUGGGGGGACCAUCCUCCAAGGCUAAAUACUCCUGACUGACCGAUAGUGAACCAGUACCGUGAGGGAAAGGCGAAAAGAACCCCGGCGAGGGGAGUGAAAAAGAACCUGAAACCGUGUACGUACAAGCAGUGGGAGCACGCUUAGGCGUGUGACUGCGUACCUUUUGUAUAAUGGGUCAGCGACUUAUAUUCUGUAGCAAGGUUAACCGAAUAGGGGAGCCGAAGGGAAACCGAGUCUUAACUGGGCGUUAAGUUGCAGGGUAUAGACCCGAAACCCGGUGAUCUAGCCAUGGGCAGGUUGAAGGUUGGGUAACACUAACUGGAGGACCGAACCGACUAAUGUUGAAAAAUUAGCGGAUGACUUGUGGCUGGGGGUGAAAGGCCAAUCAAACCGGGAGAUAGCUGGUUCUCCCCGAAAGCUAUUUAGGUAGCGCCUCGUGAAUUCAUCUCCGGGGGUAGAGCACUGUUUCGGCAAGGGGGUCAUCCCGACUUACCAACCCGAUGCAAACUGCGAAUACCGGAGAAUGUUAUCACGGGAGACACACGGCGGGUGCUAACGUCCGUCGUGAAGAGGGAAACAACCCAGACCGCCAGCUAAGGUCCCAAAGUCAUGGUUAAGUGGGAAACGAUGUGGGAAGGCCCAGACAGCCAGGAUGUUGGCUUAGAAGCAGCCAUCAUUUAAAGAAAGCGUAAUAGCUCACUGGUCGAGUCGGCCUGCGCGGAAGAUGUAACGGGGCUAAACCAUG
Molecule: ribosomal RNA, 872 nt
Filed under: Escherichia coli
Lineage: Bacteria; Pseudomonadati; Pseudomonadota; Gammaproteobacteria; Enterobacterales; Enterobacteriaceae
Description: partial 23S ribosomal RNA
Rfam family: Bacterial large subunit ribosomal RNA
Source: RNAcentral